ACCUGGCUGGCUCAGUGGGUAGAGCAUGAGACUCUUGAUCUUGGGGGUGUGAGUUCAAGCCCUACACUGGGCC
This 73-nucleotide transfer RNA is filed under the name Felis catus (domestic cat). It matches the Rfam family "tRNA". Rfam says of the family: Transfer RNA (tRNA) molecules are approximately 80 nucleotides in length. Their secondary structure includes four short double-helical elements and three loops (D, anti-codon, and T loops). Lineage: Eukaryota; Metazoa; Chordata; Mammalia; Carnivora; Felidae. The record is from Rfam by way of RNAcentral.